AAAGAUUAAGCCAUGCAUGUCUAAGUAUAAGCAAUUAUACCGCGAAACUGCGAAUGGCCCAUUAUAUAAGUUAUCGUUUAUUUGAUAGUACCUUACUACUUGGAUAACCUUGGUAAUUCUAGAGCUAAUACAUGCGUACAUAACCUCGACUUCUGGAAGAGGUGCACUUAUUAGAUAAAAAGCCAACGCGGGCAACCGCUUGUAUGGUGAUUCAUAAUAAUUAAUCGAAUCGCAUGGCCUUGUGCCGGCGAUGAUGCAUUCAAAUUUCUGCCCUAUCAAGUUUCGAUGGUAGGUUAGUGGCCUACCAUGCUUU
RNAcentral lists this ribosomal RNA (313 nucleotides) under uncultured Mucoromycotina. RNAcentral describes it as "SSU rRNA". It matches the Rfam family "Eukaryotic small subunit ribosomal RNA", at positions 39 to 352 of the family's 1831-position model. The record is from RNAcentral. Lineage: Eukaryota; Fungi.